CAAGAGCGUAUAUUAAAGUUGUUGCAGUUAAAAAGCUCGUAGUUGGAUUUCUGGUACAAUGCGCCUGGCCCGCGACCGUUAGGUCUGUGAGUGCCGGUGCGCGUUUGCCAUCCUUCUAGAAAACGUUUCUACCCUUCACUGGGCCGGACUCGCGAUCUAGAUCUUUUACUUUGAAAAAAUUAGAGUGUUUAAAGCAGGCUUUUGCUGUGAAUACAUUAGCAUGGAAUAAUAAUCUAGGACUUCGGUUCUAUUUUGUUGGUUUCUAGUACUGAAGUAAUGAUUGAUAGGGAUAGUUGGGGGUGUUAGUAUUGGCCGGCCAGAGGUGAAAUUCUUGGAUUCGGUCAAGACUAACUUAUGCGAAAGCAUUCACCAAGGAUGUCUUCUUUAA
This 388-nucleotide ribosomal RNA is filed under the name uncultured eukaryote. RNAcentral describes it as "partial 18S ribosomal RNA". It matches the Rfam family "Eukaryotic small subunit ribosomal RNA", at positions 592 to 976 of the family's 1831-position model. The record is from RNAcentral.